Molecule: ribosomal RNA, 381 nt
Filed under: uncultured bacterium
Lineage: Bacteria
Description: bacterial SSU rRNA
Rfam family: Bacterial small subunit ribosomal RNA
Source: RNAcentral
UGGGCAAUGGGCGAAAGCCUGACCCAGCAACGCCGCGUGAGGGAUGAAGUAUUUCGGUAUGUAAACCUCGAAAGAAUGGGAAGAAUAAAUGACGGUACCAUUUAUAAGCUCCGGCUAACUACGUGCCAGCAGCCGCGGUAAUACGUAGGGAGCAAGCGUUGUUCGGAUUUACUGGGCGUAAAGGGCGCGUAGGCGGCGCGGUAAGUCACUUGUGAAAUCUCUGAGCUUAACUGAGAACGGCCAAGUGAUACUGCUGUGCUAGAGUGCGGAAGAGGCAACCGGAAUUCGUGGUGUAGCGGUGAAAUGCGUAGAUAUCAAGAGGAACACCUGAGGCGAAGGCGGGUUGCUGGGACGACACUGACGCUGAUGCGCGAAAGCCAG